Biomphalaria pfeifferi is the source of this 556-nucleotide non-coding RNA. NCBI's taxonomy places the organism in Eukaryota, Metazoa, Mollusca, Gastropoda, Planorbidae. The record is from the annotation of a GenBank genome assembly.
GCUAAAUAUAGGCGUUGGCGAUGCUGAAUAUGGUAGUGGGCGAUGCUAAAUAUAGGCGUUGGCGAUGAUGAAUAUGGGAGUGGGCGAUGCUGAUUAUGGGACUGGGUGAUGAUGGACAUUGGCGAUUACAAUGUGUUCUGAUGAAAUUAGAUAUAAGUGAGGGAGAUUUCCGCGGCAUUAGCAUCACUCUCUCACAAUUGCAGUUGACGACCAGUGUGCUCUACAUACCACACACUCACAGAACGUUUCGAUGUGUUUGCUAGGUGACGCCUGCUGGCUCUGGUAGUCCAACUCAUUGACUUAAGCGCCAUGCAGCCGAUUGUAUAGAUUCAAACAUGUACAACACUCACAUUCGUAACAGAGCAAAAUUCUAAAACAUUAACAGUUUGUGUAAUUUUAUAAACUGAUAAAUUACAUUAACUUUUUAUUUCGAAUUGAUGUAUUUUUAUUUGUCUAACUUGAAAGCCCCAUGUAGCUAUAUAAAGAAAUAAAUAUAUAAAUAUACUCAUUACUAAACAUUUGAUAUUUAUUAGCCUUAGUUUCUAUUUUUUCUACC